This is a non-coding RNA of Salmo salar (Atlantic salmon), 231 nucleotides long. Lineage: Eukaryota; Metazoa; Chordata; Actinopteri; Salmoniformes; Salmonidae. The record is from RefSeq and is a predicted model, not a curated record.
GCAUUCCAGCAGACCCUCUGGAGCGUGGCCACUGUCUGCUCUGGCAGCGAGGUGGCCCAAGGGUUCAUGAUCGGCGGGGACGUGCUGAGGCUGCUCCAUGGUCACAUGGAUGAAUGUCUGACGGUGCCGUCGGGAGAACAUGGGGAGGAGCAGCGCAGGACGGUGCACUACGAGGGGGGAGCUGUGUCCAUCCACGCCCGCUCCCUCUGGAGGCUGGAGACGCUACGAGUU